Molecule: non-coding RNA, 431 nt
Organism: Arachis ipaensis
Lineage: Eukaryota; Viridiplantae; Streptophyta; Magnoliopsida; Fabales; Fabaceae
Source: RefSeq, a predicted model, not a curated record
UGCCUGAACCUUGUACUUAUGUAUUUUCAACGGUAGAGUUUCUACACUUCAUAGAUUAAGGGUGUGGAACUCUGCUGUACCUCGAGUAUUAAUGCAAUUACUACUACUUUCUAUUCAAUUCAACCUAUUCCUAUUCUAAGAUAUUCGUUGCACUUCAACUUGAUGAAUGUGAUGAUCCGUGACACUCAUCAUCAUUCUCACCUAUGAACGCGUGACUGACAACCAAUUCCGUUCUACCUUAGACCGGGCGCAUAUCUCUUGGAUUCCUCCCAUUCCGUGGUAUCAAAGUCUUCGUGGUAUAAGCUAGAAUUGAUGGCGGCAUUCAUGAGAAUCCGGAAAGUCUAAACCUUGUCUGUGGUAUUCCGAGUAGGAUUCAAGGAUCGAAUGACUGUGACGAGCUUCAAACUCGUGAUUACUGGGCGUGAUGACAA